UACAGAGGGUGCAAGCGUUAAUCGGAAUUACUGGGCGUAAAGCGCGUGUAGGUGGUUUGUUAAGUUGGAUGUGAAAUCCCCGGGCUCAACCUGGGACUUGCAGUUGAAACUGGUGAGCUAGAGUAGGGUAGAGGGGUGUGGAAUUCCAGGUGUAGCGGUGAAAUGCGUAGAGAUGUGGAGGAACACCGAUGGCGAAGGCAGCCCCCUGGGUCAAGAUUGACGCUCAUGCACGAAAGCGUGGGGAGCAAACAGG
This 253-nucleotide ribosomal RNA is filed under the name uncultured prokaryote. Its description in RNAcentral is "partial 16S ribosomal RNA". It matches the Rfam family "Bacterial small subunit ribosomal RNA", at positions 524 to 776 of the family's 1533-position model. The record is from RNAcentral.